This 407-nucleotide unclassified non-coding RNA is filed under the name uncultured fungus. Its description in RNAcentral is "partial contains small subunit ribosomal RNA, internal transcribed spacer 1, and 5.8S ribosomal RNA". The stretch from base 1 to 73 matches the Rfam family "Eukaryotic small subunit ribosomal RNA", at positions 1759 to 1831 of the family's 1831-position model. Lineage: Eukaryota; Fungi. The record is from RNAcentral.
ACAAACUUGGUCAUUUAGAGGAAGUAAAAGUCGUAACAAGGUUUCCGUAGGUGAACCUGCGGAAGGAUCAUUAUUGAAUAUUCUUGAUAGGUUUGUAGCUGGUUCCCAAGGGGAGCAUGUGCACAGCCUGUCUUGACUAAAUUCAUCCACCUGUGCACCUUUUGUAGUCUUUUGUGAGUUUGAUCAGUGGCUAAUCUUGGUCGCAAGGCCAGCUUGUGAGGACUUGGCUGCCUCUGUGGUGGGCAUUUCUCUGCGUCACAAAAAUCUCUCAAGGGACUAUGUAUUUUAUCACAAACCUCUGUAGUAUGUUGCCAGCAUGUAAGGAAUAGGCCUCAUCGGUCCUUAUUCAACUAUAUACAACUUUCAGCAACGGAUCUCUUGGCUCUCGCAUCGAUGAAGAACGCAGC